AACUGAAGAGUUUGAUCAUGGCUCAGAUUGAACGCUGGCGGCAGGCUUAACACAUGCAAGUCGAGCGGGGGAAGGUAGCUUGCUACUGGACCUAGCGGCGGACGGGUGAGUAAUGCUUAGGAAUCUGCCUAUUAGUGGGGGACAACAUCUCGAAAGGGAUGCUAAUACCGCAUACGUCCUACGGGAGAAAGCAGGGGAUCUUCGGACCUUGCGCUAAUAGAUGAGCCUAAGUCGGAUUAGCUAGUUGGUGGGG
This 253-nucleotide ribosomal RNA is filed under the name Acinetobacter baumannii. Its description in RNAcentral is "partial 16S ribosomal RNA". It matches the Rfam family "Bacterial small subunit ribosomal RNA", at positions 1 to 257 of the family's 1533-position model. The record is from RNAcentral. Lineage: Bacteria; Pseudomonadati; Pseudomonadota; Gammaproteobacteria; Moraxellales; Moraxellaceae.